This 326-nucleotide ribosomal RNA is filed under the name uncultured Enterobacter sp. RNAcentral's name for it is "bacterial SSU rRNA". It matches the Rfam family "Bacterial small subunit ribosomal RNA", at positions 384 to 709 of the family's 1533-position model. The record is from RNAcentral. Lineage: Bacteria; Pseudomonadati; Pseudomonadota; Gammaproteobacteria; Enterobacterales; Enterobacteriaceae.
UGAUGCGCCAUGCCGCGUGUAUGAAGAAGGCCUUCGGGUUGUAAAGUACUUUCAGCGGGGAGAGGCACUGGUUAAUAACCACAGCAAUUGACGUUACCCGCAGAGAAGCACCGGCUAACUCCGUGCCAGCAGCCGCGGUAAUACGGAGGGUGCAAGCGUUAAUCGGAAUUACUGGGCGUAUACUGACGAGGAAAGGUCUGUCAAGUCGGAUGUGAAAUCCCCGGGCUCAACCUGGGAACUGCAUUCGAAACUGGCAGGCUAGAGUCUGUAGAGGGGGGUAGAAUUCCAGGUGUAGCGGUGAAAUGCGUAGAGAUCUGGAGGAAUAC